This 893-nucleotide long non-coding RNA is filed under the name Homo sapiens (human). RNAcentral describes it as "HSALNT0309342". The record is from RNAcentral. Lineage: Eukaryota; Metazoa; Chordata; Mammalia; Primates; Hominidae.
UUUUCUAGAUUUCAUCGCAUCUUUCCUUUAGACACAUUAGAAGAAUGAAAGAAAGAAGGAGAUGUCCAUGAAUCUUUAAUGCCAAUUUUAUGUGGUUAAUUGGGAAAAUAUUGUCUCAGGUUUACAGAAACAGAAAGCAGGAGCAGACAUGCAGGAUACAGAAACUACAGAAAGGAGGGAAAAGGAAUGGAAACAAACAUUUCAACAGUAAAAUUUCAAGAAAACAUAGCAUUAAAAAUAUCCCUCUGUUUUUUUUUGGACUCAUACUUUGAUUGGUGAUUGAUAGAGAAGGUUUGUGUUGGUGGUUUUCACGUGCAGGCAGGAUCUCAGAGACCAGGGAAUGUGGAUAAAACUUCUUGUGACUUUCAAAUCAGAGAAGCCUGGCAGGAGGGAGAGAAAAUUUACCAACAGGACAGUUCGUUACCUGCAGCAUCUUCCCAGAGGCCGGGGGCCCGCCUAGCAGCAGCAUUGCUUCUGGCAGCAGCCUUUCUGCUGGCAACAGCCCUUCCCACAGCCGCAGCCACAUGAGCCGCAGGUGCGGCGGCAGCAGCAGAUCACAGGUGUGCUGCAGCAGCCCCCACAGCAGCCGCGGCAGCAGGGGCAGCAGCUGGAGCAGCAGCCCACCCGGUAGCACCUGCAGGUGGUGCAGCUGCCACAGCCACCACCGCAGCCACCACCGCAGCCACCACCGCAGCCACCACAGCCACCACCGCAGCCACCACAACUUCCACAACCACAGCAACCCAUGGUGUCAGUAAAGAGGACUCAGGUGAAGUGAGGAAGGAGGACUUGAGAGGUGAGGAGGUCUGAUGCCUCCUUCUGCUGGGGGAGGCCCUUAUGUACCAACUCUGGGAAGAGGAGAGGGAAGACACAUGACCACUUCCUAGUUAUUG